CAAUAGCGUAUAUUAAAGUUGUUGCAGUUAAAAAGCUCGUAGUUGGACCUUGGACCUGGACAGGCGGUCCGCCUCACGGCGUGUACUGUCUUGCUGGGUCUUUCCUCUUGGUGAUCUGUUGUUUCGGCAGCAGGGAACCAGGACUUUUACUUUGAAAAAAUUAGAGUGUUCAAAGCAGGCUCGACGCCGGAAUAUAUUAGCAUGGAAUAAUAAAAUAGGACGUGCGGUUCUAUUUUGUUGGUUUUUGGAAUCGCCGUAAUGAUUAAUAGGGACAGUCGGGGGCAUUGGUACUCACAUGCUAGAGGUGAAAUUCUUGGAUUUUGUGAAGACUAACUUCUGCGAAAGCAUUUGCCAAGGAUGUUUUCAUUAA
Molecule: ribosomal RNA, 370 nt
Filed under: uncultured eukaryote
Lineage: Eukaryota
Description: partial 18S ribosomal RNA
Rfam family: Eukaryotic small subunit ribosomal RNA
Source: RNAcentral